This 425-nucleotide ribosomal RNA is filed under the name uncultured bacterium. RNAcentral describes it as "partial 16S ribosomal RNA". It matches the Rfam family "Bacterial small subunit ribosomal RNA", at positions 354 to 796 of the family's 1533-position model. The record is from RNAcentral.
GUGGGGAAUCUUAGACAAUGGGGGCAACCCUGAUCUAGCCAUGCCGCGUGAGUGAUGAAGGCCUUAGGGUUGUAAAGCUCUUUCAGUGGGGAAGAUAAUGACGGUACCCACAGAAGAAGCCCCGGCUAACUCCGUGCCAGCAGCCGCGGUAAUACGGAGGGGGCUAGCGUUGUUCGGAAUUACUGGGCGUAAAGCGCACGUAGGCGGAUUGGAAAGUUGGGGGUGAAAUCCCGGGGCUCAACCCCGGAACUGCCUUCAAAACUCCCAGGAUUGAGGUCGAGAGAGGUGAGUGGAAUUCCGAGUGUAGAGGUGAAAUUCGUAGAUAUUCGGAGGAACACCAGUGGCGAAGGCGGCUCACUGGCUCGAUACUGACGCUGAGGUGCGAAAGCGUGGGGAGCAAACAGGAUUAGAUACCCGUGUAGUCC